Molecule: non-coding RNA, 210 nt
Organism: Pelobates cultripes (western spadefoot toad)
Lineage: Eukaryota; Metazoa; Chordata; Amphibia; Anura; Pelobatidae
Source: the annotation of a GenBank genome assembly
GCAAGCUUUUAGUUCAUUACUCCACCCUUGUGCACCCUCUGUAAUGCCAGGAGCUGGAAUAUAACUCCAUUCCGGCAUACUAAACAGCGUGCGGAAGGAGUGAGGUGCUGCCCCACGCUGGACCCCAGGGAAAGGUAGGGAGGCUGGAUGGGCCUCAAAAACUAAAAUAAUUUGUGAGAGUGUGCAAGAAUGUGUGUGUGCAAAAAUCUG